RNAcentral lists this ribosomal RNA (497 nucleotides) under uncultured bacterium. RNAcentral's name for it is "partial 16S ribosomal RNA". It matches the Rfam family "Bacterial small subunit ribosomal RNA", at positions 28 to 507 of the family's 1533-position model. The record is from RNAcentral.
GAUGAACGCUGGCGGCGUGCCUAAUACAUGCAAGUCGAGCGAACAGAUGAUGAGCUUGCUCCUCUGACGUUAGCGGCUGACGGGCGAGUAACACGUGGAUAACCUACCUAUAAGACUGGGAUAACUUCGGGAAACCGGAUCUAAUACCGGAUAAUAUAUUGAACCGCAUGGUUCAAUAGUGAAAGACGGUUUUGCUGUCACUUAUAGAUGAAUCCGCGCCGCAUUAGCUAGUUGGUAAGGUAACGGCUUACCAAGGCAACGAUGCGUAGCCGACCUGAGAGGGUGAUCAGCCACACUGGAACUGAGACACGGUCCAGACUCCUACGGGAGGCAGCAGUAGGGAAUCUUCCGCAAUGGGCGCAAGCCUGACGGAGCCACGCCGCGUGAGUGAUGAAGGUCUUCUGAUCGUAAAACUCUGUUAUUAGGGAAGAACAAAUGUGUAAGUAACUAUGCACGUCUUGACGGUACCUAAUCAGAAAGCAACGGCUAACUACGUG